UUUGCUGCUUAUUAAUAGUUAGGUUGUUAAGUUUAGAUAUGGGAUCGGGUUAAGAGAUCUAGAACAUGGUCAUACAGAAUAAGGCAUUAAAUAUGCUUUAU
Sinocyclocheilus rhinocerous is the source of this 101-nucleotide long non-coding RNA. RefSeq lists it as uncharacterized. The record is from RefSeq and is a predicted model, not a curated record. Lineage: Eukaryota; Metazoa; Chordata; Actinopteri; Cypriniformes; Cyprinidae. The transcript is spliced from 3 exons.